UGGGGAAUAUUGGACAAUGGGGGAAACCCUGAUCCAGCAAUGCCGCGUGAGUGAUGAAGGCCUUAGGGUUGUAAAGCUCUUUCGGGUGGGACGAUGAUGACGGUACCACCAGAAGAAGCCCCGGCUAACUUCGUGCCAGCAGCCGCGGUAAUACGAAGGGGGCUAGCGUUGUUCGGAAUUACUGGGCGUAAAGCGCACGCAGGCGGUCCGUUAAAUAAGGAGUGAAAGCCCUGGGCUCAACCCGGGAAUUGCUCUUUAGACUGGCGGACUUGAAUCCGGAAGAGGGCAGUGGAAUUCCAAGUGUAGAGGUGAAAUUCGUAGAUAUUUGGAAGAACACCAGUGGCGAAGGCGACUGCCUGGUCCGGCAUUGACGCUCAUGUGCGAAAGCGUGGGGAGCAAACA
RNAcentral lists this ribosomal RNA (402 nucleotides) under uncultured Telmatospirillum sp. RNAcentral's name for it is "bacterial SSU rRNA". It matches the Rfam family "Bacterial small subunit ribosomal RNA", at positions 355 to 774 of the family's 1533-position model. The record is from RNAcentral. Lineage: Bacteria; Pseudomonadati; Pseudomonadota; Alphaproteobacteria; Rhodospirillales; Rhodospirillaceae.